GACAAACAGGAGGAAUUCUACACUAUCACUCUUGCACCACAUCAUCAAUAACAAGCCAAUCACCUUUCUUCUUUUCAAACAAAAGUAUAAUAAAAGUAUUUUUUUAUAAUCACGAUGGGACAUAUAUUUCUAAAAAGAAUUUUUGAUUGAUUUGUUACGCCACGUCAUCAAUAUACCCGUUGCAUUCUAGAAUUUUUCGACAAACAGAGAGGAGGAAUUUGGAUAUUG
RNAcentral lists this long non-coding RNA (228 nucleotides) under Ananas comosus (pineapple). Its description in RNAcentral is "long non-coding RNA (ACOM_LNC022790)". The record is from RNAcentral. Lineage: Eukaryota; Viridiplantae; Streptophyta; Magnoliopsida; Poales; Bromeliaceae.